Molecule: non-coding RNA, 79 nt
Organism: Paramuricea clavata
Lineage: Eukaryota; Metazoa; Cnidaria; Anthozoa; Malacalcyonacea; Plexauridae
Source: the annotation of a GenBank genome assembly
AACCGCGUAGCUCAGUUGGGAGAGCAUUGCCAUUGGGCUGGUAGUCCAAAGGUCGUAGGUUCGAUUCCCACCGUGGCCA